UUUUAUUAGAAUUAAUUAAUAAUAAAGUCUGCUCAAUGAAAUUUAAAUAGCCGCUUUUGUGCUAAGGUAGCAUAAUCAUUUGUCUUUUAAUUAAAGACUAGAACAAAAGACUUAACAUCUCAAUAGAUUUUUUUUAUAAAAUUAUUUAAAUUAUUUUAAUUGUUAAAAAACAAUUUUUAAAAAGAAAGACGAUAAGACCCUAUCGAACUUCACUUCAGUUUAACUGGGGCAGUUAAUUAAUUAUUACCUUAAUAAUAUUAAAUAUUUAAUUUGACCUAAUAUAAUUAACAAUAUAAUUAAGUUACCGUAGGGAUAACAGUGUAAUAAAAUUUUUAAGAUCUUAUUUAAAAUAAAGAUUGCAACCUCGAUGUUGAUUUAAUAUUCUAAUUUACGCAAUAGUUAAUUAAGAAAGUCUGUUCGACUUUUAAAAAAUU
Molecule: ribosomal RNA, 434 nt
Filed under: Wadicosa fidelis
Lineage: Eukaryota; Metazoa; Arthropoda; Arachnida; Araneae; Lycosidae
Description: partial 16S ribosomal RNA
Source: RNAcentral